AGUUAUUUUAACAUAAAGUCUUUUGUUUAUAAGUCAAGAAAUAUCGAUUCUAUAUAACGAAUUAGUUAGUUAUAUAUUGUGUAGUGGAUAUGUAGAGAUUAUAUAAUAGAGCUGUUGUUGUCUUGUGUGUGGACUGUGUGGAGUAUAAAAAUAUGGUGGUGAUGCGUAAGAGGAGAAUAAAAGAGGAGUGUAAGAAAGACAGAGGAAGACAAAAAAAAAUUUGGGAAGCCUUACACGUCACUCUUUCUCUUUGCCAAUGACUUGUGAAGCCAUGCCCCGCGCCUCCUUUUUCUCCUCCCCAUCAAAAUAUAUACGCUAAUAAUGGCAUAAUGCGGUAUUGCGAUUAAUCUUAUAAUAUUUAUUAUACACCGAUUUAAGUUUUUACAUCUAAUCCGUUUAAAAGUUUAGAACCUUGUAAGUUUUGUAGAUAUUUAAUCUCUAUUAAAACCACUAUCAUUGUGGAAAAGGCAUGUUGAAUAGGCUCCUAGAUCGGUUCAACGCAUUCUAAUGAGCUGUACCACGUACGGACAGACAACGGUUGCAAUCUCAAGGUCUAAAAAUCUAAACAGUGAACAUAGAUACUUUCCUGUCCUCUCACGUGCACACGCGUCUACAAGUUACAACCGUCGCCGACUCACGUGACCGACCUUUUGGCCUCCAUAUAACGAAUAUAAAAAAACAAAAACCUACAGGAAAACCAAACAAAAACAAAAAAAUAUAUAUCGAACAUCUUCGCCUGUAUUGUUCUAAGUUCUGAUAUCACAACAACAAUAAUAAAAUUGUCUAAACCCUUCGCUAAGAAAUGUCCUUUUCACGUGAGUUUGUUUGUCCAUCAAUAUCUUCUCAAAAAACUUUUUCGUUUUAACUACGUUUAUAUAUGCACGACAAAGGAAAAAGAAGAAUUUUUUCGGUCGAAAAUAAAACCCAACAAAUUACAAAAUUUACAUGUAAAUGUUAUAUUAUGAUGAAAUGUUUCUUACAGAGCUUUGCUCUUGAACGAGUUAUUCUUUGAUUUCGUCCGAUGUUUUCUAAACAUAAUAGACGACUAUAGAAUAAUCGGUAAAAAAAAAAGAAAAAAAAAGUGAAAGAGAAAAAAGACUAAACCAUUUUAUUUUGUCAGUAAAAUCAUAAAAAAAAAGGUCGAAUGAUAAUAAAUCGCCAUCACACAAAUUUAUGCAAGUAGAUUACGUGAUAAAGUGAUAUUUUAAAGCAUAUGCAGAAAAUGAAAAGAAAGAUAAACUAAAAAGAAAGGAGAAAGAAAAAGAGAGUUAAAAAAAAGACAGAUGCGUUAAACUCCGUCAGAUACGGGACCUACUCGGGAGAGAGUAAGCAAAUAUCCGACGAUCAAAUCCAUGAUUCCAGUAGGUAAGCCAAGAUAUCCGCGAAAACUAAUUAAGCAGCCGGGUGACAAGAUCUAUCCGCGGACGUAAAGCCCAAACGGAUGGGAAACAAACAAAAUCACCCCAAAGGUACAUGGACAACAAUACCAAAAUAAAGAAAGCUACGAAAGCACAGUGAAGAGGAAAUUAAAACUCUAACUCAAACUCAUAACCCACGACACAGAACAGCGACUUCUCCUUUUAACAAUUAAGACUACCUCACAAAUAAAGAGAACUAAAGGAUCCUUACCAGCAAAAAAAGAACUACCUGCUACGAGGUCCAAAAGACGACUAGAACCCAAACUCAACUCCUGGAAACGGCGAAAUCGAGGCAAAAAGAAAUCAUAAUAGUUAGAGAAACCUAGAUGUGUGAUAACUACCGGGCCCAGCCCAAUAAGAGACUCUCUGGCCUUUAUAUAAGAUUAGACGCAGAGGAGGAAUAGUUGUCGGCGACGAAGCUAUGUCAGAUACGCAGUUGCCCGACGAAGAUAUGUCAGAUCCGCCGUCCUCCGACCAAACUAUGUCUAAUCCGCGGUUACCUAAAUAUAUUAUAUAUGGACUUACCUGCGAUUCAUACAAUGGAGUCAAUUGACCCCGUUCUCUUUUACGUGGAUCCGCCUUUGGAUGCCAAGACAUGUCUUUUGGAACGUGGAGGAUUACCCAAUUCUUUCUAAUCACGAUAUUUGUUAGAUGGGGGAGAAAAUCAGAUCAGCACUCGCGGUUGCGAAUUUUAGUGGGGAAGUUUCAAUCAAUGUUUACAUUGAUAAGAAGAAGAAUUAUACGUUUUUGGAUGAAUGGGAAUCGCUACGAGAUGCCGGAUUCACAAUCAAUACCAUCCCCAAAGUGGAUGCUUUUGCGUGGACACUGGAAUAUACUGCACCAACAAAUAUGAUUGUACUCUCAAAAAACUUGGAAGAAAAAGCGUUAUGUAGAUCUAUGUUUAAAAAAGCGACACCUAGGCUUGCCUAGGCUCUAGGCGAGGUGAGGCUACUCGUUCAUCGCCUCUAGAAGGUGGAGCGAGGCUAACAAUUAAAGUCGCUCGCUCAAGACAAAGGCGCUGGUGUAUCUCUCUCAAAAGCUUUGACGCCUUCUGCAAAAAAAGGCCAAUAUAUAUGAUGUGGUAGAUGAAGAUGAGGAUGAAGGUCAGUCUAGUCAGCCACCUUCCAAGAAACAUAAGGGUCCAAUGGAUAGGUAUGUUCUUCCAACUCCUCAUGAUAUCUUGAAAGGAAGAAAGGAUAGAAAAGAGGUUUUUGGAAAAUCUGAUAAGGAACUGAGGGACAAGGCAUGUGCUGCUAUUGCAAGGUGGUUUUAUGAUGCAGGGCUUCCGUUUAAUGCAGUUACUUUUGAUAGUUUUAGAGAAGCACUUGAAUUAGUUGGUCAAUAUGGGUCUGGCUUUAAACCACCAACAAUGUAUGAGCUGCGGGUUCCUUUCUUGAAGAAGGAAGUAAAAGAAACAGAAAAUCUGAUGGUGGAGCACAAGACAGAAUGGGCAACUAAAGGCUGUUCGAUUAUGUCUGAUGGAUGGCGUGAUUCUGUUGUCCAAAAAGACAUUAUUAACUUUCUUGUUAACUCUCCAAAGUGAUCAAUUUUCAUCAAAUCAGUUGAUGUUUCAACAGUAGUGAAAGAUGUUAAUUUGCUGUUUAAUAAGCUUGAUCGUAUGGUGGAAGAAGUUGUGGAAUCUAAUGUUGUCCAAGUGAUAACGGACAAGGCAUCAAACUAUGUAAAAGCUGGUGAGUUUGUUACUUUAUAAGGUUCUGUUUUUUCUGAUUUUUUCCAAAUUGAUACUAACAAGUCUGCCU
Molecule: non-coding RNA, 3178 nt
Organism: Camelina sativa (false flax)
Lineage: Eukaryota; Viridiplantae; Streptophyta; Magnoliopsida; Brassicales; Brassicaceae
Source: RefSeq, a predicted model, not a curated record